AGAGUUUGAUCCUGGCUCAGAUUGAACGCUGGCGGCAUGCCUUACACAUGCAAGUCGAACGGUAGCGGGCCUUCGGGUGCCGACGAGUGGCGAACGGGUGAGUAAUGUAUCGGAACGUACCUUUCAGUGGGGGAUAACGUAGCGAAAGUUACGCUAAUACCGCAUAUUCUGUGAGCAGGAAAGCAGGGGAUCGCAAGACCUUGCGCUGAUUGAGCGGCCGAUAUCAGAUUAGCUAGUUGGUGAGGUAAAGGCUCACCAAGGCGACGAUCUGUAGCGGGUCUGAGAGGAUGAUCCGCCACACUGGAACUGAGACACGGUCCAGACUCCUACGGGAGGCAGCAGUGGGGAAUUUUGGACAAUGGGGGCAACCCUGAUCCAGCCAUGCCGCGUGAGUGAAGAAGGCCUUCGGGUUGUAAAGCUCUUUCGGCCGGGAAGAAAUCGCAUGGGUUAAUACCCUGUGCGGAUGACGGUACCGGCAUAA
This 481-nucleotide ribosomal RNA is filed under the name uncultured bacterium. RNAcentral's name for it is "bacterial SSU rRNA". It matches the Rfam family "Bacterial small subunit ribosomal RNA", at positions 8 to 486 of the family's 1533-position model. The record is from RNAcentral.